GAUGAACGCUGGCGGCGUGCCUAAUACAUGCAAGUCGAGCGAACAGACGAGGAGCUUGCUCCUCUGACGUUAGCGGCGGACGGGUGAGUAACACGUGGAUAACCUACCUAUAUGACUGGGAUAACUUCGGGAAACCGGAGCUAAUACCGGAUAAUAUAUUGAACCGCAUGGUUCAAUAGUGAAUGACGGUUUUGCUGUCACUUAUAGAUGGAUCCGCGCCGCAUUAGCUAGUUGGUAAGGUAACGGCCUACCAAGGCAACGAUGCGUAGCCGACCUGAGAGGGUGAUCGGCCACACUGGAACUGAGACACGGUCCAGACUCCUACGGGAGGCAGCAGUAGGGAAUCUUGCGCAAUGGGCGAAAGCUUGACGGAGCAACGCCGCGUGAGUGAUGAAGGUCUUCGGAUCGUAAAGCUCUGUUAUUAGGGAAGAACAAAUGUGUAAGUAACUAUGCACGUCUUGACGGUACCUAAUCAGAAAGCCACGGCUAACUACGUG
RNAcentral lists this ribosomal RNA (497 nucleotides) under uncultured bacterium. Its description in RNAcentral is "partial 16S ribosomal RNA". It matches the Rfam family "Bacterial small subunit ribosomal RNA", at positions 28 to 507 of the family's 1533-position model. The record is from RNAcentral.